RNAcentral lists this ribosomal RNA (246 nucleotides) under uncultured bacterium. RNAcentral's name for it is "partial 16S ribosomal RNA". It matches the Rfam family "Bacterial small subunit ribosomal RNA", at positions 109 to 354 of the family's 1533-position model. The record is from RNAcentral.
AGUAACGCGUGAGGAACCUGCCUUCCAGAGGGGGACGAACAGUUGGAAACGACUGCUAAUACCGCAUGAUGCGUUGGAGCCGCAUGACUCCGACGUCAAAGAUUUAUCGCUGGAAGAUGGCCUCGCGUCUGAUUAGCUAGUUGGUGAGGUAACGGCCCACCAAGGCGACGAUCAGUAGCCGGACUGAGAGGUUGGCCGGCCACAUUGGGACUGAGAUACGGCCCAGACUCCUACGGAAGGCAGCAG